ACACCUCAUAAUGAGGCAGUUACCUCCUAUCUGCUCGGAGCAAUAACUGCAAGCCUCGAUUUACACUAUAUUGAUAAAGACGACGUUGUGUCCGCCUGUAAGACGUAUUACGAGACGGUACGCAGGAGCUUCAGAUAUAUGCAGCCAGAGAACUCAAUGCGGGCAGAAGCUGCCAAGAAUUCAGCUCGGAGUCGAGCGAGAAGAAAGAGGCUGCAGGAAUCGAGGCAGAGCGUGCUAGCUGAUGAGGAAGUGGAACUCUGGAUGUCCGCCACCGUCGACCUCAUGUCUGACGAGGAAGAUGGCGUCGUUGGCGGGGU
Fundulus heteroclitus (mummichog) is the source of this 317-nucleotide long non-coding RNA. RefSeq lists it as uncharacterized. The record is from RefSeq and is a predicted model, not a curated record. Lineage: Eukaryota; Metazoa; Chordata; Actinopteri; Cyprinodontiformes; Fundulidae. The transcript has 3 exons.